This is a long non-coding RNA of Numida meleagris (helmeted guineafowl), 467 nucleotides long. RefSeq lists it as uncharacterized. The record is from RefSeq and is a predicted model, not a curated record. The transcript is spliced from 3 exons. Lineage: Eukaryota; Metazoa; Chordata; Aves; Galliformes; Numididae.
AAAUAUUGGUCACAAACCAGAAAGGAGUUGCACUGACUCGUGGGGCAGCAGGCUCUGGAGACAGCCAUCAGCAGGAGAGCUUGGAAGCAGCAAACUGCGAGGUGCCUGAGACAGCACACAGCCUGAUAGAGCUGCUGGUAAAGCUUCAGGUGUGAUUUCACCCACGGAUGGCAUUUAGCCUGUGGUCCACGGGGAUCGAAAAGCCAGCAGCAGAGAGCACUAUGGCAUCAUCUCCAAAAGAGAGACAGCUGUUGGAAACACGUCUAGCAACCAAGCCAAGUGGGCCAGACAACAGAGGUCUGAAAGAUGUCCAAGAUCCUGACCUCCUUUCUGAACCGGCAAAGAAAAUUGGCUCACUCUGAGGUGAGUUGCUGAGUUUUAGCCUCUCUCCUGCCCAACUGAUUUAGAAGAGCACAUGAGGUAGAAAAAGGGGACAUGCACUGAAGGCACCAUUAGUACGCUGCUGC